CACGGAGGAUGCGAGCGUUAUCCGGGUUUAUUGGGUUUAAAGGGUGCGUAGGUGUUUUUUAAGUCAGUGGUGAAAGUUUGUCGCUCAACGAUAAAUUGCCAUUGAAACUGGGGAACUUGAGUAUGUUUGAGGUAGGCGGAAUGCGUGGUGUAGCGGUGAAAUGCAUAGAUAUCACGCAGAACUCCAAUUGCGAAGGCAGCUUACUAAACCAUAACUGACACUGAAGCACGAAAGCGUGGGUAUCAAACAGG
This 251-nucleotide ribosomal RNA is filed under the name uncultured bacterium. RNAcentral's name for it is "partial 16S ribosomal RNA". It matches the Rfam family "Bacterial small subunit ribosomal RNA", at positions 524 to 776 of the family's 1533-position model. The record is from RNAcentral.